GCGCCGCGAUCAACGGCCGCCACUUCCGGCCGCGCUCAGCCAAGAGCACUUCCGGCCCGCCGCUCACUGCCUGCGGGGCUGCCGGUUCGAGACCGCGGUGGUCACAGUCGUCUGACUGUUGUGAAGAACCAUCGCGGUUCAAGUGCAGAGUAGCGUAGCGCGUGGCUCCGCCGUGGUUAAUUUGGUGAUCUUUUCCCUGCUGCCCCUUGUUGCGGCUGGAGGGCUGCGGACGUAAAACCAGGUCGCUGUACAAGCAUGCUGUCUCUGCUUUUCCACCUGUUUCAGGAGUUGUAACGCUGAGAAACAACGUGACCCGCUGGAUUCACAUCUGCUCCCUGAAGAUUGCUUAACAGAAAAGUUCAGUCGUCUUCCCAUUUGAAACCUCAAGUCUGUUGCCGUGUCACUACAUCACCACAUUGCUUCUUUACUUUAAAUUAAUAGAAGUGCUUCAUAAUAUCUCUCUCAUAUUUAAAAAAAGAAAAAGAAAAA
Non-coding RNA from Meleagris gallopavo (turkey), 489 nucleotides. NCBI's taxonomy places the organism in Eukaryota, Metazoa, Chordata, Aves, Galliformes, Phasianidae. The record is from RefSeq and is a predicted model, not a curated record.